RNAcentral lists this long non-coding RNA (199 nucleotides) under Lathyrus oleraceus (garden pea). RNAcentral's name for it is "Pisum sativum (pea) long non-coding RNA (PSAT_LNC007430)". The record is from RNAcentral. Lineage: Eukaryota; Viridiplantae; Streptophyta; Magnoliopsida; Fabales; Fabaceae.
ACUAUUUCCCUUCUAUUUUCUCUUUUUAUACUUUUUUACAUAAGGAAUAUAUAUUGUCAUCCUUCUUUUCUUUUUCUAUUUGUUUUAUUUUUCUUUCUUUUUCUUUGUCUAUUUUUUUCUUUUCUACCAAUCUUAGAAACAUCACAGUUAUAUUAAUUCAACCCCACACAACUCCAAACAAUACUUUUUCAACCCUUUG